Molecule: ribosomal RNA, 113 nt
Filed under: uncultured eukaryote
Lineage: Eukaryota
Description: partial small subunit ribosomal RNA
Source: RNAcentral
UCGCUGCAACUGAUUGGGUAAUUUAGCAAAUAGCUUGGAAAGCCUUUGGAAGCAUCUGCUGAUAAUAAGCUGAAAAGUUGUAAGCUAAAAUUAUUUAGAAAUUGCAAAAGUCG